UACGUAGGGGCGAGCGUUGUCCGGAAUUAUUGGGCGUAAAGAGCUCGUAGGCGGUAUGUCGCGUCUGCUGUGAAAAGACCGGGGGCUUAACUUCGGUUUUGCAGUGGAUACGGGCAUGCUUGAGGUAGGUAGGGGAGACUGGAAUUCCUGGUGUAGCGGUGAAAUGCGCAGAUAUCAGGAGGAACACCGGUGGCGAAGGCGGGUCUCUGGGCCUUACCUGACGCUGAGGAGCGAAAGCAUGGGUAGCUAACAGGAUUAGAUACCCCCCGUAGUCCCUGA
This 279-nucleotide ribosomal RNA is filed under the name uncultured prokaryote. RNAcentral's name for it is "partial 16S ribosomal RNA". It matches the Rfam family "Bacterial small subunit ribosomal RNA", at positions 524 to 800 of the family's 1533-position model. The record is from RNAcentral.